UUGAAGAGUUUGAUCAUGGCUCAGAUUGAACGCUGGCGGCAGGCCUAACACAUGCAAGUCGAACGGUAACAGGAAACAGCUUGCUGUUUCGCUGACGAGUGGCGGACGGGUGAGUAAUGUCUGGGAAACUGCCUGAUGGAGGGGGAUAACUACUGGAAACGGUAGCUAAUACCGCAUAACGUCGCAAGACCAAAGAGGGGGACCUUCGGGCCUCUUGCCAUCGGAUGUGCCCAGAUGGGAUUAGCUAGUAGGUGGGGUAACGGCUCACCUAGGCGACGAUCCCUAGCUGGUCUGAGAGGAUGACCAGCCACACUGGAACUGAGACACGGUCCAGACUCCUACGGGAGGCAGCAGUGGGGAAUAUUGCACAAUGGGCGCAAGCCUGAUGCAGCCAUGCCGCGUGUAUGAAGAAGGCCUUCGGGUUGUAAAGUACUUUCAGCGGGGAGGAAGGGAGUAAAGUUAAUACCUUUGCUCAUUGACGUUACCCGCAGAAGAAGCACCGGCUAACUCCGUGCCAGCAGCCGCGGUAAUACGGAGGGUGCAAGCGUUAAUCGGAAUUACUGGGCGUAAAGCGCACGCAGGCGGUUUGUUAAGUCAGAUGUGAAAUCCCCGGGCUCAACCUGGGAACUGCAUCUGAUACUGGCAAGCUUGAGUCUCGUAGAGGGGUAGAAUUCCGUGUAGCGGUGAAAUGCGUAGAUCUGGAGGAAUACCGGUGGCGAAGGCGGCCCCGGACGAAGACUGACGCUCAGGUGCGAAAGCGUGGGGAGCAAACAGGAUUAGAUACCCUGGUAGUCCACGCCGUAAACGAUGUCGACUUGGAGGUUGUGCCCUUGAGGCGUGGCUUCCGGAGCUAACGCGUUAAGUCGACCGCCUGGGGAGUACGGCCGCAAGGUUAAAACUCAAAUGAAUUGACGGGGGCCCGCACAAGCGGUGGAGCAUGUGGUUUAAUUCGAUGCAACGCGAAGAACCUUACCUGGUCUUGACAUCCACGGAAGUUUUCAGAGAUGAGAAUGUGCCUUCGGGAACCGUGAGACAGGUGCUGCAUGGCUGUCGUCAGCUCGUGUUGUGAAAUGUUGGGUUAAGUCCCGCAACGAGCGCAACCCUUAUCCUUUGUUGCCAGCGGUCCGGCCGGGAACUCAAAGGAGACUGCCAGUGAUAAACUGGAGGAAGGUGGGGAUGACGUCAAGUCAUCAUGGCCCUUACGACCGGGCUACACGUGCUACAAUGGCGCAUACAAAGAGAAGCGACCUCGCGAGAGCAAGCGGACCUCAUAAAGUGCGUCGUAGUCCGGAUUGGAGUCUGCAACUCGACUCCAUGAAGUCGGAAUCGCUAGUAAUCGUGGAUCAGAAUGCCACGGUGAAUACGUUCCCGGGCCUUGUACACACCGCCCGUCACACCAUGGGAGUGGGUUGCAAAAGAAGUAGGUAGCUUAACCUUCGGGAGGGCGCUUACCACUUUGUGAUUCAUGACUGGGGUGAAGUCGUAACAAGGUAACCGUAGGGGAACCUGCGGUUGGAUCACCUCCUU
RNAcentral lists this ribosomal RNA (1527 nucleotides) under Escherichia coli. RNAcentral's name for it is "bacterial SSU rRNA". It matches the Rfam family "Bacterial small subunit ribosomal RNA". Lineage: Bacteria; Pseudomonadati; Pseudomonadota; Gammaproteobacteria; Enterobacterales; Enterobacteriaceae. The record is from RNAcentral.